Molecule: ribosomal RNA, 170 nt
Filed under: Staphylococcus pseudintermedius
Lineage: Bacteria; Bacillati; Bacillota; Bacilli; Caryophanales; Staphylococcaceae
Description: partial 23S ribosomal RNA
Rfam family: Bacterial large subunit ribosomal RNA
Source: RNAcentral
AUAUAGAUUAAGUUAUUAAGGGCGCACGGUGGAUGCCUUGGCACUAGAAGCCGAUGAAGGACGUUACUAACGACGAUAUGCUUUGGGGAGCUGUAAGUAAGCUUUGAUCCAGAGAUUUCCGAAUGGGGAAACCCAGCACGAGUUAUGUCGUGUUAUCUGCAUGUGAAUAC